UAACAAGGAUGCCCCUAGUAACUGCGAGUGAAGCGGGAAAAGCUCAAAUUUAAAAUCUGGCGUUUUGUCGCCCGAGUUGUAAUCUGGAGAAGCGUUUUCCGUGCCGGACCGUGUACAAGUUUCUUGGAACAGAGCGUCAUAGAGGGUGAGAAUCCCGUCCAUGACACGGACUCCCGGUGCUUUGUGAUACGCUCUCGAAGAGUCGAGUUGUUUGGGAAUGCAGCUCAAAAUGGGUGGUAAGCUCCAUCUAAAGCUAAAUAUUGGCGAGAGACCGAUAGCGAACAAGUACCGUGAGGGAAAGAUGAAAAGCACUUUGGAAAGAGAGUUAAACAGUACGUGAAAUUGUUGAAAGGGAAACGCUUGAAGUCAGUCGCGUCUUAUUUGACUCAGCCUUGCUUCGGCUUGGUGUAUUUCAAGUAGGAUGGGUCAACAUCGAUUUUGGCCGGUGGACAAGGGGUUAAGGAAUGUGGCACUCUUCGGAGUGUGUUAUAGCCUUUUCUCAUAUACAUCGGUUGGGAUUGAGGCCCGCAGCGCGCCCUUGUGGCCGGAGGUUCGCCUCACGUAACGCGCUUAGGAUGUUGGCAUAAUGGCUUUAAGCGACCCGUCUUGAAACACGGACCAAGGAGUCUAACAUGCUCGCGAGUGUUAGGGUGGAAAACCCUUGCGCGUAAUGAAAGUGAAAGUUGAGAACCUCCGCAAGGGGGUGCAUCGACGCCCGGCCCUGAAGUUUACUGACGGUGCUGCGGUAGAGCGCGUAUGUUGGGACCCGAAAGAUGGUGAACUAUGCCUGAAUAGGGCGAAGCCAGAGGAAACUCUGGUGGAGGCUCGUAGCGAUUCUGACGUGCAAAUCGAUCGUCAAAUUUGGG
Molecule: ribosomal RNA, 866 nt
Filed under: Fuscoporia senex
Lineage: Eukaryota; Fungi; Basidiomycota; Agaricomycetes; Hymenochaetales; Hymenochaetaceae
Description: LSU rRNA
Rfam family: Eukaryotic large subunit ribosomal RNA
Source: RNAcentral